Molecule: ribosomal RNA, 513 nt
Filed under: uncultured bacterium
Lineage: Bacteria
Description: bacterial SSU rRNA
Rfam family: Bacterial small subunit ribosomal RNA
Source: RNAcentral
AGAGUUUGAUUAUGGCUCAGGAUGAACGCUAGCGGCAGGCCUAAUACAUGCAAGUCGAACGGUAAACACCCUUCGGGGUGUGAGAGUGGCGGACGGGUGCGCAACGCGUAUGCAACCACCCCCGACGGGCGCACAGCCGGUGGAAACGCCGGGUAAUGCGCCAUGCGACCCGCGCGGGGCAUCCCGUGCGGGCCAAAGCGGCGACGCGGUCGGGGACGGGCAUGCGUCCCAUUAGAUGGUAGGCGGGGUGACGGCCCACCUAGUCGACGAUGGGUAGGGGAUCUGAGAGGACGGUCCCCCCACACUGGUACUGAGACACGGACCAGACUCCUGCGGGAGGCAGCAGUAAGGGAUAUUGGGCAAUGGGGGUAACCCUGACCCAGCCAUGCCGCGUGAGGGAAUGAGGCCCUACGGGUCGUGAACCUCUUUUAUUCGGGGACAAGGACGGCGUCGCGAACGCUGUUUGAGGGUACCGAAGGAAUAAGCGUCGGCUAACUCCGUGCCAGCCGCAGC